Molecule: long non-coding RNA, 6293 nt
Organism: Marmota monax (woodchuck)
Lineage: Eukaryota; Metazoa; Chordata; Mammalia; Rodentia; Sciuridae
Exons: 4
Source: RefSeq, a predicted model, not a curated record
GGGGUGUGCAGCAGGAAGCUGACCGUCCCGAGCCAAGCUGGGCUGGCUGCCCCCUCCCGACCUCGGGGCCCGUCCCUCCCGAGGUGGGGCUGCUCUCUUUGCUUCUCUUGCACAGGGCUCUGGGGUUUCCCCUUCGGCUCCCUCAUCAGAGGUUGUUUUCAGGCAGAGAUGAGUAUGAGUCAUUCACAUGCUGGUGAGAGCGAGCCCGCAGACACUCCCCGGAUUCACUCAGUAAAUACUAACCGAGGGCCACUGGGUUCCAAGGGCAGGAGGGCUAUGAAGACAGCUCCCUGCCCCGCGAGUUCAGGGUGAGAGUGGGACGGAGGAGAAGGCUGGUGGGGCGGGAGAGCGCUCCCUGCGGGCGCUGUCUUCUUAGAAGAGGGAUGUUGCUCCCUGUGGACUAGAGGUGGUGGAGGAAGCUCUCUGGAGGAGCAGGAAAGAGGUGUGGUGUGGCCAGGCGCAGGGCAGCCCGGCACAGCCUCGCCCAGACCAAGUGGGAAGAGGCCCCAGGGCCAGCCCCAGGCGGGCAGACCCAGCCGGGUGGUGUCCAGAGCAGCCCUGGGCCCAGGAGAGGGAGACUCGGGCACCUCUUGGGGUGAAGCUGGCUGAGCAGGGUGGGUGUGGGGCGAGAGGAGGGGCAGAGAGGGCCAACGGGUCUGUGAUGGGUGGACGGCGUUGUGGCCGCGGCGGCACCCCAGUGGUCCCUCCGCGUGGGACCCCUCACGCUGCCGUGGAGGGCAGGUCCUGUCCCCUGCCCCUCUCUGGCGUCACCCCACACCCGUGGUGGCUCCCCCUCCCUCACCCAAGUGAGGGCUGCUGGUAUCUGGGGAGGAGAUAGGAGACCUCGAGGGUCAAUGUUUUUAACUAUGGUUCCUCAUGCUCCCUGAGGAGAGAGGAAGGGGCAGGUCCCUGUCCCUGCGUCUGCCUGUCUUGUGUGGCAGCUCAGGGUCACUGUGAGGCCUCCCUCCCUGCCCCUCUGAUCCCUCACGGGCUGUGUGGGGCCACACCUGUGUGGGGCUCUGCUUGUGUUCUUGGGCUACUGGGGACACUAAGUCCUUGUCACGGUCUAGAAGGUCACCUGGCUGUGCUAAGGAGCAGCUGUCUGGCGGACCCCUCUGCCCUGUCACUCUGCUUCCCGGCCUCUGUGCCCUGCACGUGGAGAGCAGAGGCAGCCUGCUGGGGCAGCGUUGGGGUAGGGACGGGGCGGCAGGGCUCUUCCCACGGCCUCGCUGCCCUGCCACGGUGUCGGGUUGGGAAGGAGGUCUGGAGACCCGCAGGGCUUGGGUGACAAGCUGCUGUCACUCUCUGGGGCAGUCAGUCCGUGCCUGGCCUCUGGUGCUCUGAGCCCAGCCUGGAGCCCUGACCUGGAGCAGCAGGGGCCGGUUUUCCCCCCUAGGCUGACCUCCCUGGCUGCAUGGGAUGAGGUACCGUGUUUCAGAGCCACUCGGAGCCCCAGGACAAUUUGGCCAUUGUCAGAAGACACUGAAGCUUCGGGGUUUGAUCUGUUGCUUUUGCUGAGAUCUGUGGAGUUCCCGGCAGCACAGAGGUGUAAUUAGCAAAGGAACGAGGACUCUCCUAGUCUCUGCAGGUUAAACUUGGCAUUAGCACUGCUGGAUUUGGAUCACAAGGAUGAAAGUAAUCAUCUAAUUAAUGACUCAAUCUGCUGUGUUUUAAAAAGGAUUACCCAGGAUUAUUUGAUCAGGGGGAACAUACCGGACCGAAGACGAGCUCUGCACCCUCCCCGGCCAGGCAACACACACAGAGAGCCUUCCUCAAAGGAGGAGGCCAAGAGCCUCUCCAAGAGCCCUGGCACCUGUGCUGCAAACCUUCUCUCCUGGAAUGGGGUGUGGUCCAGUGGGACAGGAUGUGCCAGCAGUUGCUGUGACAGUGAACGACCCCACAGAAGAUGGGGAGAGCAAGGUCCCCAGUGUCCUGCGCGGCCUCACUUUUUCCAGAUUCAUCUUCAUGAGACAAACAAAAAUCCGUGUGUCCAGGUCGACGUCAGAGGGCGUUUCUGCUCUUUAUACCCCACGUCAGUUAGACAGAGGGAGCCGAGCCCUGAGCGAAGGCAGCAAGUCUACGUGCACCAGGAGACGGAGGAGAGAGAGCAGAGGUGCUGCGCUGGACGUUCCAGGGGCCUCCCCGUGGAGCGACAGUGGGGUUGGAGCGUGGGAGGGUGAAGGGCAAGGUGGCCGUGAGGGGGCUGGGAAAGUGCUGCAUUUGAUCCCGAUUCCAACUUUGCUGGUCCAGGAAGGCAGCGCCAUGGGGGGGUGCCAGGAAGAGGGGGAGCCGGAGUUGGGGCUGGAGAUCAGCGCUCCAGCAGCCUGGAGGGCAGCGGGAGAGGGCAGUGCCGUGGGUUCUGGCUGGAGCCGCUGGUGGCACACUGGGUGUAGAGGGCACCCUCAUGGAGGACACAGAGGCAGUAGCCAGGUGGUCAGGGGCUUUUAGUGUGCACUGGAGGAAUGACAACCCCGGGGACAGGAGGGACUCUUAGGGAAGGACAGUGGCAUUCCUCUUGUCUGGCCAUAGGAGCAGAACAGGCCGAUAGGUGGACACCCCAGGAGCGGCCUGGCCAGCAGCAGGAGGCUCCAGGCUGCAAAGGCUGCUUCCAGGAGCACGUGCAGAGCUACAGGCCCCAGUGACAGACACGGGCCCCGUGGGAUGGUGCUGUGCAGGGGGGGCACGGGGCUGCAUGGGGACCCCAAGGCCCAGCCAGGCCAGGUCAUCAGGCUGGCCUCUACCAGGAGUGAUCAGGAAUGUGGAGGUGUCCUCUCAGCUGAGGAAGUCCUCACAAACCCUCUGCAUUUGAAAGUAUCCUAAUGAGUUUCAUCCACACACUUAGGGUCCCAGCCUAGCCCCCCGCCAGUUCUGCUGAGGACACUCAUUCAGCCGGCAGCUGGGCAGAACAUUGGCCACUCCUCAGGAAGCACAGGUCAUUGGCUGCACAUGGUCCUUAGACUGAGGUCAAGGUGUUCAUAAGGGGUACGUCCUUCUGAAGCUGGAAAUCUACAGGUGGAACCACAUCAGCCAGGCGCCCACAGGUGCACAACCGAGCAGGACUGGGCCCAAUGGCAGGGCACGCUUGGGUAGAAGGGACAUGUCCUGGGAGAAGACUGGGCCUCUAGUCUGGGAAGUCAGGAAGGAGGUGAGGGACGGAUGUCACGGUGUGUGUGUGGGAAGUGCCUGAGAUGAUGUGGAUGACAGAUAAGACACCUCCUGGCACAAGGGUCAGGGUAGCUGGGGAGGGAGAGGCCUAUGGGCCCUGGGAGCCCUGGGUAAGCACAGGCUGGAGGUCAGGAAAAAAGGUUCCCAAGUAGCAGACAGUAGGGCCAGGGCAAGGUUUAUGCAAAGGGACAUGGGAGUGGGACAGGGGAUCUGGCAGAGGAUCCGAAGGGCUUGAGCACAAAGAUACAUCUGGUGACAGAUGCAAGAUGAGCAGAUGACAUGGCUCCCAAUUACCAGGGACAGUGUGGUGACUUCCCCAUGGGAAUCAGGCUCCUAACUCCUGGGACAGUGUGUUGAGGUUCCCCAGGAGAAUCAGGCUCCUAACCCCUGGGACAGUGUGUUGAGGUUCCCCAGGGGAUUCAGGCUCCUAAAUCCUGGGACAGUGUGUUGAGGUUCCCCAGGGGAAUCAGGCUACUAACUCCUGGGACAGUGUGUUGAGGUUCCCCAGGGGAUUCAGGCUCCAAACUCCUGGGACAGUGUGUUGAGGAUCCCCAGGGGAAUCAGGCUCCAAACUCCUGGGACAGUGUGUUGAGGUUCCCCAGGGGAAUCAGGCUCCAGACCCCUGGGACAGCGUGUUGAGGUUCCCCAAGAGACACAAGCUCCACACUCCUGGGACAGUGUGUUGAGGUUCCCCAGGGGAAUCAGGCUCCAGACCCCUGGGACAGUGUGUUGAGGUUCCCCAAGAGACUCAGGCUCCAAACUCCUGGGACAGUGUGUUGAGAUUCCCCAGGGGAAUCAGGCUCCAAACUCCUGGGACAGUGUGUUGAGGUUCCCCAGGGGAAUCAGGCUCCAAACUCCUGGGACAGUGUGUUGAGGUUCCCCAGGGGAAUCAGGCUCCAAACUCCUGGGACAGUGUGUUGAGGUUCCCCAGGGGAAUCAGGCUACUAACUCCUGGGACAGUGUGUUGAGGUUCCCCAGGGGAAUCAAGCUCCAGACUCCUGGAACAGUGUGUUGAGGUUCCCCAAGAGACUCAGGCUCCAAACUCCUGGGACAGUGUGUUGAGAUUCCCCAGGGGAAUCAAGCUCCUAACUCCUGAGACAGUGUGUUGAGGUUCCCCAGGGGAAUCAGGCUCCAUACUCCUGGACACUAUGUGUUGGGGUUCCCCAGGGGAAACAGGAUCGAAACUCCUGAGACAGUGUGUUAACGUUCCCCAGGUGUAUCUCGCUCCCAACUCCUGGGACAUUGUGUUGAGUUUCCCCAGGGAUUUAGGCUCCUAAAUCCUGGGACAGUGUGUUGAGGUUCUCCAGUGGAAUCAGUCUCCUAACUCCUGGGACAGUGUGUUGAGGUUCCCCAAGAGAAUCAGGCUCCAAACUCCUGGGAGAGUGUGUUGAGGUUCCCCAGUGGAAUCAGGCUCCAUACUCCUGGACUGAGUACUGAGGUUCCCCAUGGGAAUCAGUCUCCUAACUCCUGGGACAGUGUGUUGAGCAUCCUCAGGGGAAUCUUGCUCCAGACUCCUGGGACAGUGUGUUGAGGUUCCCCAGGGGAAUCAGGUUCCAGACUCCUAGGACAGUGUGUUGAGCAUCGCCAGGGGAAUCAGGCUCCAGUCUCCUGGGACAGUGUGUUGAGGUUCCCCAGGGGAAUCAGGUUCCAGACUCCUGGGACAGUGUGUUGAGCAUCGCCAGGGGAAUCAGGCUCCAGUCUCCUGGGACAGUGUGUUCAGGUUCCCCAGGGGAGUCAGGUUCCAAACUCCUGGGACAGUGUGUUGGCUUCCCCAAGUGAAUCAGGCUCCUACCUCCUGGACAGUAUGUUGAGGUUCCCCAGGGGAAUCAGGCUCCAGACUCCUGGGACAGUGUGUUGAGGAUCCCUAGGGGUAUCAGGUUCCAGAUUCCUUGGACAGUGUGUUGUGGAUGGCCAAUGGAAUCAGGCUCCUAACUUCAGGGACAGUGUGUUGAGGAUCCUCAGGGGAAUCAGGCUUCAGACUCCUGGGACAGUGUGUUGAGGUUCCCCAGGGGAAUCAGGAUCCUAACUUCUAGGACAGUGUGUUGAGGAUCCCCAGGGGAAUCAGCUUCCAGACUCCUUGGACAGUGUGUCGUGGAUCACUAGUGGAAUCAGGCUCCUAUCUUCUAGGACAGUGUGUUGAGAUUCCCCAGGGGAAUCAGGCUUUAGAGUCCUGGGACAUUGUGUUGAGUUUCCGCAGGGGAAUCAAGCUCCUAACUCCUGGGACAGUAUGUUGAGGUUCCCCCGGGGAAUCAGACUCCAGACUCCUGGGACAGUGUGUUGUGGAUCCUCAGGGGAAUCAGGCUCCUAACUCCUGGGACAUUGUGUUGAGGUUCCCCAGGGGAAUCAGGCUUGUUUGUGCAGACUUCACAGUCCAACUCUUGGCCACCAAAUGGCCAUCCAAACCCUCAGAGGUGUUUUGUGCUCACAGAAAAGCACUUAUCAUUUCUUUAACAUUUUCUGUUACAUUUCAUGCUUGAAGACUACCCAGAAAUAACUAUAAAGUGACAAAAUAUGAAUAAACUGCAAAAUUGAACAGAGUAAAAUUCACAAGGGGCCCCAAUUCUGACACCAUGUAGACAGUAAAUGACUAAAAAUUCUAAAUGAGCACAGAAAACGUCUGUUGUGUCAAAUAGAUUAAUUCCAGCAGUCUAAUACAUAUACUUAAUUAAAAUACUGAAACCGUCUGUCCAGGGCUUCUCGGUGAAUCUUUAAUUAGCUGUUGCAGUUACAUUGUGCAGCAGAGAGAAAGGUCUUUGAGCUAAUUUUUUCUCUAGCAGAUUUGGAAACUUGGAAAGUGACAUAAAAAUAUUUCUUUUGGUGACAUUUGAGAAAAGAAAGGAAUGUCCAUUGUGUGUCCCUCUGUAGCCAACUCGGAGGAGAAUUCCAGCUGCAGCCUUCGACUGCCCUCUGUGUCCAGCCUGCCUCCAAGGUGCUCUGACCUCCAGUUCAGAUUAUAUCUGGUGGUUCUAUUUGAGGAAAAUAGUUUCCUUUUUAAAAUAAUGUAAUUGUGCUGAAAAACAUGUAACAUCAAAUUUCCCAUCUUCUCCGUCUUUACGCUCCAGUUUCGUAGUAUAAAGUAUUUCCAUGUCACUGUACAAAGUCUCUAGAACUUUGUUUUACAAAACCAG